RNAcentral lists this small nucleolar RNA (77 nucleotides) under Erythranthe guttata (spotted monkey flower). RNAcentral describes it as "Mimulus guttatus (spotted monkey flower) Small nucleolar RNA R21". It matches the Rfam family "Small nucleolar RNA R21". Rfam says of the family: snoR21 is a member of the C/D class of snoRNA which contain the C (UGAUGA) and D (CUGA) box motifs. Most of the members of the box C/D family function in directing site-specific 2'-O-methylation of substrate RNAs. The record is from Rfam by way of RNAcentral. Lineage: Eukaryota; Viridiplantae; Streptophyta; Magnoliopsida; Lamiales; Phrymaceae.
AAUCCCUUUGAAGAUCUUGCAGAUAUUAAAGUAGUGGACUGAUUCUUAUUUGAUGAGAAAGCUUGUUCUGAGGGAUU